AUGAUCACAUUUUUACCUAAUACAAAUCAAUAUACGUAAGUGUUCACAGUUUACUUAUUUUAGUAAUAAUACAUUAAUGUACUUCAAUAAUGAAGAGUUGUUAAGUUUUUUCACACUUAAUUUAUACUUUCUAAUAUAUUAAUUUUGUUGCUAAAGGUAAAGUAAUAUGUGAAUUAAAUUGAAACUAUUUUGUGAGUUUCAAAAAUUAAAUUUCAUCACAAUAAAAAAUAAUUAUUAUGUAUUAUAAUAUUGAACAUUUACAGGUUGAGCCACGUCAAUAGGGCCAAAAAUAGAUGUGUUUUUAUCAACGCUCAAUAUGAGUAGGAAGGUCUAAAUAAGCUCAUUCGACACGUCAGAUGAUGUCUUUUAGUUGUCACUGUGGCGUAGUUGAGUGUCGUUCACUGUAUGUUUGCAUACGACGCGUUUGGGAAAAGCAAUGAAUCGGUAGCUGGGGUACAGCUUGCAGUUCAGACAUCACUUCAACGUUGGUGCUGUUCCCAAUCGAAAAACAAUUAUGAGUGUUGCCCGAGCCACUUCUAUACCGUCUGGACAACUACCAAAGGUGCAUUAUCGUCAUAGCUGAUGACAUACGUCA
Long non-coding RNA from Myzus persicae (green peach aphid), 595 nucleotides. RefSeq lists it as uncharacterized. The record is from RefSeq and is a predicted model, not a curated record. Lineage: Eukaryota; Metazoa; Arthropoda; Insecta; Hemiptera; Aphididae. The transcript has 3 exons.